UGGGACAGGAUUUUUUCCCUUUCCCUUCCUCUGUGGAUGCUUUCAUGGAUAUUUUUAUAAAGUCAGGGAUUUAGGGCAGUGCAAACACAGCAGUCCCCUCCCGUGUUCACACAGAGUUGCUCCCCAAACACCUAAACCUGCCCCACCCAUUUAUGGACCAUCAGGGCCCAGAGUGAAAUAAAAGCUGAAAUUUGGGAAAUUUUUGCCCAGGACCUGUCUGGGCUGGGGUUUUUCUGUUUUCCUGCCCUGCACACAAGGAUCUCUUGGUGCAGACAGCACUUGCUCCCCGUGAAUGGGCAUCAUUCAGAGUCCUCCAUAAAUGAAGCCUCUAUGGCUGUUCUUGCGGGGAAAAUAUAAAGUUGCUCUGUGUCAUUCUGCUGUUAAUUAGCAAAGAUAAAUACAUUUCAGGUGGGAAUUUUCACCAGCACAGCUCGUGGCACAUAAGCAGCAUUAAAGCCUUGGAAAGAGGGCGAGAGGCAAAGGUGUGCUGGGAGCUCUGGGGCUGCAUUGAUGCCUCUGGAAAAGCAGUGUUUAUUUUUAAAAUAUGAAACAUCAUUUCUCCCCAGGCCCCCGAGAAGGAGAACACUGGAGUCAAUAUUUCAGGAGGAAAAUGUGCAUUUCGAGCUCUUCCCCAGCCUGACUGCAAGAGGUGCUGCUUUCACACACCGAAUCCACACUUCCCCUUCACUGAUGGAGAGACAGAAAAUUUUGGUCCCACCUUGCUCCUGCUGAAGGCAAAAGGUUCAGAGUCCCCCAUGAUGGUCAUUGCCCUGGACCAGAAAUUCUUCUCCAAGGGGAUCUGGAGGGUGCCUGAGUUCCACAGGCGAGGCAGAAUAAAAAGGCUGGGAAGGGAGCAGUGGCCAAACUCUGAGUUGUUUGCUGUUGGUUUUUAUUUCAUUCUAAACAAACCUGGGACUUGUAGUAAACACAGCCCUGCUGCCCUCCAGCCUCCAGAAAGCUCCAAGGUUUUACAAAAUGCUCCAAAACUUCUGCCUAUUUCUGGCUGCCUUUGAUGUUCCAGGUGAGUGCUCCAAGCUGGAUUCCCACUCCACUUUUCACCCCGCAGAGAAAUGAUGACAAAAGCUCCAAUUCUUGUGUUUUA
Molecule: long non-coding RNA, 1102 nt
Organism: Parus major (Great Tit)
Lineage: Eukaryota; Metazoa; Chordata; Aves; Passeriformes; Paridae
Exons: 3
Source: RefSeq, a predicted model, not a curated record